Molecule: ribosomal RNA, 158 nt
Filed under: Pilidium acerinum
Lineage: Eukaryota; Fungi; Ascomycota; Leotiomycetes; Chaetomellales; Chaetomellaceae
Description: 5.8S ribosomal RNA
Rfam family: 5.8S ribosomal RNA
About the family: 5.8S ribosomal RNA (5.8S rRNA) is a component of the large subunit of the eukaryotic ribosome. It is transcribed by RNA polymerase I as part of the 45S precursor that also contains 18S and 28S rRNA. Functionally, it is thought that 5.8S rRNA may be involved in ribosome translocation.
Source: RNAcentral
AAACAAAACUUUCAACAACGGAUCUCUUGGUUCUGGCAUCGAUGAAGAACGCAGCGAAAUGCGAUAAGUAAUGUGAAUUGCAGACACCGUGAAUCAUCGAAUCUUUGAACGCACAUUGCGCCCUUUGGUAUUCCGAAGGGCAUGCCUGUUCGAGCGUC